AAAUUUUAAAUUUGGAAGAUUAGAGAGAGGUAUGAGAAUAUUUCAUUUUUGAAUGAGAGCCAAUUUCUAUCCCUUAAAUAAAAUUUUCUCAACCGCCAUGGUUAACAAUUCUCAGAGAAAAUGUAGAUGAAAUAGGGGAUUAUUUUGCUCGAAACCCAUUAAUUUCAUCCGGUACUAAACAGCUCUGUACAACUAGGCAUGCCGUUUCUUUAAGAAUUUUCAGGUGGUAAGGAAAUUUAUUUCGUUGUUUCGAUGGUUUUAAUGGUUUUUUUCUUUUCCUUUUUUGAUUGACCUGAGAUUAUUGGGAUUUUUUUUUUAGAAUUUAAUUUUCUUUAAAUUUUCUGUUCAUGGAAAAUUAAUCUGUUGUUUCUCGGAAAGUGAAAAAAAACGAAACGGUUGAGUUUGCUUUGUUCUUCAUUAUGAC
Molecule: long non-coding RNA, 424 nt
Filed under: Gossypium raimondii (Peruvian cotton)
Lineage: Eukaryota; Viridiplantae; Streptophyta; Magnoliopsida; Malvales; Malvaceae
Description: long non-coding RNA (GRAI_LNC011250)
Source: RNAcentral